AAUAGCAUAGCUAGAACCAGAGCUCAAUAUUGCCAGCUGCUAUAUAACAGGAUAUCGUUAAAACGAAAAAUGUUGUACCAUCGCCGGCUUGCCGGCAUAUGUGGUAAUAUAAUUCAGGUGGGACUCUUCGUCCCCCCGGUGACCCGUCAAAAAAAAACGAAAAAAAUGAAUGCUUGAGCUCGAAAGAAAAAAAAACUAUAGAAGUC
This 206-nucleotide long non-coding RNA is filed under the name Setaria italica (foxtail millet). RNAcentral's name for it is "long non-coding RNA (SITA_LNC004663)". The record is from RNAcentral. Lineage: Eukaryota; Viridiplantae; Streptophyta; Magnoliopsida; Poales; Poaceae.